This is a small nuclear RNA of Onychomys torridus (southern grasshopper mouse), 107 nucleotides long. The record is from RefSeq and is a predicted model, not a curated record. NCBI's taxonomy places the organism in Eukaryota, Metazoa, Chordata, Mammalia, Rodentia, Cricetidae.
GCUCUAGCCUCGGGCAGCACAUAUACUAAAAUUGGAAUGAUACGGAGAAGAUUAGCAUGGCCCUGUGCAAGUUGUUAUUUUAAUGGUGAGAAAAAAAGCUGAUACAA